AUACGGAGGAUGCAAGCGUUAUCCGGAUUUAUUGGGUUUAAAGGGUGCGUAGGCGGUUUGCUAAGCGGGAGGUGAAAUGCCGGCGCUCAACGUCGGAAGUGCCUCCCGAACUGGUGGACUUGAAUGACUCUGCCGUGGGAGGAAUGUGUAGUGUAGCGGUGAAAUGCUUAGAGAUUACACAGAACACCGAUUGCGAAGGCAUCUCACGAAGGGUUGAUUGACGCUCGGGCACGAAAGCGUGGGGAUCGAACAGGAUUAGAUACCCUGGUAGUCCACGCCGUAAACGAUGGGCGCUCGUCGUCGGCGACAGACAGUCGGCGGCCAAGCGAAAGCGAUAAGCGCCCCACCUGGGGAGUACGGUCGCAAGGCUGAAACUCAAAUGAAUUGACGGGG
RNAcentral lists this ribosomal RNA (393 nucleotides) under uncultured bacterium. Its description in RNAcentral is "partial 16S ribosomal RNA". It matches the Rfam family "Bacterial small subunit ribosomal RNA", at positions 523 to 918 of the family's 1533-position model. The record is from RNAcentral.